UAAUUGAAGAGUUUGAUCAUGGCUCAGAUUGAACGCUGGCGGCAGGCCUAACACAUGCAAGUCGAGCGGU
RNAcentral lists this non-coding RNA (70 nucleotides) under Shewanella colwelliana. RNAcentral describes it as "partial 16S ribosomal RNA". It matches the Rfam family "Bacterial small subunit ribosomal RNA", at positions 1 to 70 of the family's 1533-position model. The record is from RNAcentral. RNAcentral also lists the same sequence under 9 other names. Lineage: Bacteria; Pseudomonadati; Pseudomonadota; Gammaproteobacteria; Alteromonadales; Shewanellaceae.